This 404-nucleotide ribosomal RNA is filed under the name uncultured Anaerovorax sp. RNAcentral's name for it is "bacterial SSU rRNA". It matches the Rfam family "Bacterial small subunit ribosomal RNA", at positions 355 to 774 of the family's 1533-position model. The record is from RNAcentral. Lineage: Bacteria; Bacillati; Bacillota; Clostridia; Peptostreptococcales; Anaerovoracaceae.
UGGGGAAUAUUGCACAAUGGGCGAAAGCCUGAUGCAGCAACGCCGCGUGAGCGAGGAAGGCCUUUGGGUCGUAAAGCUCUGUUGAGAGGGAAGAAAAAAAUGACGGUACCUCUUGAGGAAGCCCCGGCUAACUACGUGCCAGCAGCCGCGGUAAUACGUAGGGGGCGAGCGUUAUCCGGAAUUAUUGGGCGUAAAGAGUGCGUAGGUGGUUAUCUAAGCGUGGGGUGAAAGGCAGUGGCUUAACCAUUGUAAGCCUUGCGAACUGGAUAGCUUGAGUGCAGGAGGGGAAAGUGGAAUUCCUAGUGUAGCGGUGAAAUGCGUAGAUAUUAGGAGGAACACCGGUGGCGAAGGCGGCUUUCUGGACUGUAACUGACACUGAGGCACGAAAGCGUGGGUAGCAAACA